CCUACGGGGGGCAGCAGUGAGGAAUAUUGGUCAAUGGCCGAGAGUCUGAACCAGCCAAGUAGCGUGAAGGAUGACUGCCCUAUGGGUUGUAAACUUCUUUUAUCAAGGAAUAAAACGAUGCACUUUUGCCUUUUUGCAUGUACUUUAUGAAUAAGGUUCGGUUACCUCCGUGCCAGCAGCCGCGGAAAUACGGAGGAUCCGAGCGUUAUCCGGAUUUUUUGGGUUUAAAGGGAGCGUAGAUGGGUUGUUAAGUAAGUUGUGAAAGUUUGCGGCUCAAGCGUAAAAUUGCAAUUGAUACUGGCAGUCUUGAGUACAGUUGAGGUGAGCGGAAUUCGUGGUGUAGCGGUGAAAUGCUUAGAUAUCACGAAGAACCCCGAUUGCGAAGGCAGCUUACGAAACUGUGACUGACAUUGAUGCUCGAAAGUGUGGGUAUCAAACAGGAUUAGAUACCCCGGUAGUC
This 460-nucleotide ribosomal RNA is filed under the name uncultured bacterium. Its description in RNAcentral is "partial 16S ribosomal RNA". It matches the Rfam family "Bacterial small subunit ribosomal RNA", at positions 338 to 795 of the family's 1533-position model. The record is from RNAcentral.